ACCUUCCAAAUUCCUUGCCCUUCGGAUCUAAACACGGGUCUGAGUGGUUAUAAACGCAGGAAAAGUAAAACUGAAACGGACUUAAAUUCUUUGUGACACAUGAGCUAGUUUCAAACUAAA
Molecule: small nucleolar RNA, 120 nt
Filed under: Echinops telfairi (small Madagascar hedgehog)
Lineage: Eukaryota; Metazoa; Chordata; Mammalia; Afrosoricida; Tenrecidae
Description: Small nucleolar RNA SNORA61 (ENSETEG00000022932.1)
Source: RNAcentral